This 448-nucleotide ribosomal RNA is filed under the name uncultured bacterium. RNAcentral describes it as "bacterial SSU rRNA". It matches the Rfam family "Archaeal small subunit ribosomal RNA", at positions 724 to 1170 of the family's 1478-position model. The record is from RNAcentral.
ACGGAAUAGAUACCCGGGUAGUCCCAGCCGUAAACGAUGCUCGCUAGGUGUCAGGCAUGGCGCGACCGUGUCUGGUACCGCAGGGAAGCCGUGAAGCGAGCCACCUGGGAAGUACGGCCGCAAGGCUGAAACUUAAAGGAAUUGGCGGGGGAGCACAACAACGGGUGGAGCCUGCGGUUUAAUUGGACUCAACGCCGGACAACUCACCGGGGGCGGACAGCAAUAUGUAGGCCAGGCUGAAGACCUUGCCUGAAUCGCUGAGAGGAGGUGCAUGGCCGUCGCCAGUUCGUACUGUGAGGCAUCCUGUUAAGUCAGGCAACGAGCGAGACCCGUGCCCACUGUUACCAGCAUGUCCUCCGGGACGAUGGGUACUCUGUGGGGACCGCCGAUGUUAAAUCGGAGGAAGGUGCGGGCCACGGUAGGUCAGUAUGCCCCGAAUCUCCCGGGC